GACUAGCAAGUGUGAUUCUAUUCGAUUCGUUUGCGAACGGCAUACAAACGUGCGUUUCCCUCGUAAUCGACAAUCUCGUUGGUUGGUUGGUCGUUGUUGGCAACGGUCGGCAUUCGAAGUAGUAAAAAAAAAAUAAUAAAAGUUGAAGAGAUGAAGAAGAUCUAAAAAAUAAAAUAAAAAAUCCAAAGUUGUUGAUAUUUGCAAGUUGGAAUGAAGAUUUUAUAUAUACAUACAUACAUGUGUACACAAAUGCAAAUAAAAAAGCAAAAGUUAUAAAUAAAACGAAUUAGUGCGGCAGUGAAAGAAAUUCCAUUAUUGAUAAAAAGGCGCGCGAAUUUCGGUUCGUUGACGUUUUUUUUGCUCUGAUUUUUGUGCUGCUCAAAACGAAGGGUUGAAGAAAACACCCACUGUGCCAUGCAAUUUAACAAAACAAAUUUCUAACACACAAAAUAUAAAUAAACUAAAUUCCACGCUUCAAGGCCAGUGUAAAGUAAGCCAGACGCUUACAAAAAAACAAAAAAAAAACGUAAGGUUUAAGAUUACAACAAUAAAAUUUCAAGCACGAAAUUUAAUUAAAAUUCAAAAUCAAAGCGCAGCUCUAAUUUCCUCGCCGAAGUAAAUAGUGAAAUAAAAUCGAAUAUAAAACAAUGAAAUUAGUCAACAACAACAAAAAACAUAAAACGGCUGUGCUGUCUGAGCUAAAGAAGCAAUGAAAAAUACCCAUUUGUGAAAAAAACACCAGUUGCAAGCAAACACAGCCAUAACAAAAAAUAAAAAAACAAACAAAAACACCGGCAAAGGUGACAACAAAAUACCAACGGUAACAACAAAUCACACCAGUAUUGCAACAACAGCACAUGCGACACCAUUUGAUGUUAGUGCGACACCCGAAAUAACUAAAACUGGAUUAAAAACCGAAAGGGCCAAAAAGCACCUCAGCAACAACCAUAACAACAGAGAAGUGCCAUAUGAAGAAGGAAUAUACAUGUGCAUGUGGAUAAAAAAGGAUUGAAUAUAAAUAUAAGUGAAUAGGUUGCAACAUAACGAAAUCUGUUAAAAAGUAGAUAACUUUUAACAGUAAAUUGUUGCCUAAGGCCAAAGAAGAAGUAGCAUCGCUCGAAAUCCUACAUAAAUUGGUUUAUCUUUUGAAGUUUACAACACUAGUGCAGAGCGCUUCAUCCUGCACAUAUUUGAAUGUGUAUACAUAUUUAAGUGUUUUCAAUUUAAAUGCCAGCGGCUGCAAGAUAAUAAAAAGUGUUAAAUGCAAUGAAAUUUGUUUAGCAAAAAAAAAAACAAAAAGUAAUAAGUAAAGCAUAAUCAACCAAUACCAAAGCAAAAUAACAAAUUUAUUUGGAUAAAGUUUAAAAUAAAAAUAAAUUGCAAUUAUUUGGUUUGUCUACAGUGAGGAAUUGCAACAAAACUAAAAAUUUAUAUUUGUGUAAAGUUUAAAGCCAACAAAAUAAUGCAAAAGUGUCUGGUAUAAGUACGCACGUAUGUAUAGAAUUUUGUGUAUAACAACAUAUGUAUAAGCACAAUCAUGUACUAUGUAUACUCGCUUAAGUAAUUGUAAGCGUUUGUUGCAUCAAAAUAAAUAGCAACCAACAAACCAGCGACACCUGGUUGCAAACAAUUUGCAUUAGCAUAUAGCGAAAAGUGUUAAAAAAAAACAAACAAAGUCUAUGGUAAAACGGCCAGUAGUGAAAAAAAAAAUCACCAGCAACAAUUUACAAUUUUGCAAUUGAUAUCGCUUUGAUGCCAAUUAGUCAGUUUGCCGGCUAAAACGCUGCCUCACUGACUAACUAACUGCCUCUGUGCAGCCACUUUACAUCGAAGGCAAAUGAAUAAAAAGCAACAACACAAACAACGUACGUUAUUGGAUUAAAUAAAAGGCAGCAGCAACUUUAGUUUCAACAUGGAUUGCGUAGUUAUCGCUAGGCCAACAACCGA
Molecule: long non-coding RNA, 1947 nt
Organism: Rhagoletis pomonella (apple maggot)
Lineage: Eukaryota; Metazoa; Arthropoda; Insecta; Diptera; Tephritidae
Exons: 4
Source: RefSeq, a predicted model, not a curated record